This 494-nucleotide ribosomal RNA is filed under the name uncultured bacterium. RNAcentral describes it as "partial 16S ribosomal RNA". It matches the Rfam family "Bacterial small subunit ribosomal RNA", at positions 28 to 507 of the family's 1533-position model. The record is from RNAcentral.
GACGAACGCUGGCGGCGUGCUUAACACAUGCAAGUCGAACGGUGAAGCGCCUUCCUUUUUGGUGGGUGUGGAUGAGUGGCGAACGGGUGAGUAACACGUGAGUAACCUGCCCCCUUCUUCUGGAUAACCGCAUGAAAGUGUGGCUAAUACGGGAUAUUCUGGGUCUGUCGCAUGAUGGGUCUGGGAAAGAUAUUGUUUCGGUGGGGGAUGGGCUCGCGGCCUAUCAGCUUGUUGGUGGGGUGAUGGCCUACCAAGGCGGUGACGGGUAGCCGGCCUGAGAGGAUGGACGGUAACGCAGGGGCUGAGAGACGGACAAGACUCCUACGGGAGGCAGCAGUGGGGAUUAGUGCACAAUGGGAGGAAGGCUGAUGCAGCGACGCCGCGUGAGGGAUGGAGGCCUUCGGGUUGUGAACCUCUUUCGCCAGUGAAGCAGGCCUGCCUCGUUUGUGGGUGGGUUGACGGUAGCUGGAUAAGAAGCGCCGGCUAACUACGUG